Molecule: ribosomal RNA, 405 nt
Filed under: uncultured bacterium
Lineage: Bacteria
Description: bacterial SSU rRNA
Rfam family: Bacterial small subunit ribosomal RNA
Source: RNAcentral
AACGAACGCUGGCGGCGCGCCUAAUACAUGCAAGUCGAGCGAGAAGACGUAGCAAUACGUUUGUAAAGCGGCGAACGGGUGAGGAAUACAUGGGUAACCUACCCUCGAGUGGGGAAUAACUAGCCGAAAGGUUAGCUAAUACCGCGUACGCUCCUUGGACUUCGGUUCAGGGAGGAAAGCGAUACCGUGGGUAUCGCGCUCUUGGAUGGGCUCAUGUCCUAUCAGCUUGUUGGUGAGGUAACGGCUCACCAAGGCUUCGACGGGUAGCUGGUCUGAGAGGACGAUCAGCCACACUGGCACUGCGACACGGGCCAGACUCCUACGGGAGGCAGCAGUAAGGAAUAUUGCGCAAUGGGCGAAAGCCUGACGCAGCACGCCGCGUGGGGGAGUGAAGGUCUUCGGAUU